GUCUAAAUGAACAGCAGACUAACAUUCAGUUUAGAAAAAUAGUGAGAACUACGAUUUCAUUCGUUAUUCACUCGCGAAAGACGUCAAAAAGGUAUCAAAACUACAAAAAACUGAAGACAAUGUUUGAAGAGAAGAUCGGAGUCAUGAUUUCUGACAUCAUUUCCCUUCAGAAAUUGCCUUCAGAAAUUCUUUCAAAGCAAUUCGAAGUUUCUACCAAUGCCUGUGAUUGGUCGUUCCAUUAUGGCGUCCUCCUGUUUAGACCAAUCAGAUUCAUCGUUAAAGGAUGCGUUGCGCGGAGUGUGGUGGAGUGCAACAGUCCUCUUCGAAGCUUCGUCGGUUUGGCACGUGUC
This is a non-coding RNA of Osmia lignaria (orchard mason bee), 350 nucleotides long. The record is from RefSeq and is a predicted model, not a curated record. Lineage: Eukaryota; Metazoa; Arthropoda; Insecta; Hymenoptera; Megachilidae.